AAGGUAUAAUAAUUGUGUGUUAAUAAUGAUUCGUUAGUUGAAAAAAAAAAGUUUAUAUUUAACCUAUAUCUAUUAUCAUAGAACACUCUAAAUAUUUUACAUGGAAAUUAGGAUUUCGUGGGUCAAGCAUACAUUAAUUCUCAGAGUUACUCCUGCAAUCAAGCUAGAUUCUCCACAUUCGAGAUUAAGGUUAUAAAACUUAGAAAGCCGGUGGCAAGUGAGACCUUGGAGACUUGUGUGUGUACUCGCUGAGGAUCAUAUAAUAGAGGGUGGUCUAGGGCACGCUUCAUUUAUUUUAUUUAGUGUUAUUAAAUUAAUGUCGCAGUUAUUUUUAUUUAUUAAUUAUUAUGUCUUUUAAGUGCAAACUGAGCUCAAAUAUGAAAUAUUUUUAUGUUUAUAAAUAAAAGCGACAUUAUAAUUUUUCCGCAUUUUAACGCUUGUAACUAAAUUAGUAAUUUAUGAAAAAGUACGGGCGUUACAGUUUGGUAUCAGAGCCACAGUUAUAUUGGUCCCGAACGUUCUCACGAGUUACACAUAUCGGCUAAAAAGGUUCCACUCGCUACCAAGUAAGUAUCAUUUUUGCAUGAUUCUAUUUUAUGUGCAUUUUAGUAAUUUCAAAAGUUCUUUUUAUUUUCAGAA
Long non-coding RNA from Cannabis sativa, 639 nucleotides. RefSeq lists it as uncharacterized. NCBI's taxonomy places the organism in Eukaryota, Viridiplantae, Streptophyta, Magnoliopsida, Rosales, Cannabaceae. The transcript is spliced from 2 exons. The record is from RefSeq and is a predicted model, not a curated record.